UACAAGCAAGCACCCACUUUUCAGGAUGCAC
RNAcentral lists this non-coding RNA (31 nucleotides) under Mus musculus (house mouse). The record is from RNAcentral. Lineage: Eukaryota; Metazoa; Chordata; Mammalia; Rodentia; Muridae.